This 754-nucleotide ribosomal RNA is filed under the name Aspergillus sp. RNAcentral's name for it is "partial large subunit ribosomal RNA". It matches the Rfam family "Eukaryotic large subunit ribosomal RNA", at positions 95 to 914 of the family's 3401-position model. The record is from RNAcentral. Lineage: Eukaryota; Fungi; Ascomycota; Eurotiomycetes; Eurotiales; Aspergillaceae.
GNNGCGGCAAGAGCUCAAAUUUGAAAGCUGGCUCCUUCGGGGUCCGAAUUGUAAUUUGCAGAGGAUGCUUCGGGUGCGGCCCCUGUCUAAGUGCCCUGGAACGGGCUGUCAGAGAGGGUGAGAAUCCCGUCUGGGAUGGGGUGUCCGCGCCCGUGUGAAGCUCCUUCGACGAGUCGAGUUGUUUGGGAAUGCAGCUCUAAAUGGGUGGUAAAUUUCAUCUAAAGCUAAAUAUUGGCCGGAGACCGAUAGCGCACAAGUAGUGUGAUNNAAAGAUGAAAAGCACUUUGAANAGAGAGUUAAACAGCACGUGAAAUUGUUGAAAGGGAAGCGCUUGCGACCAGACUCGCCCGCGGGGUUCAGCCGGCAUUCGUGCGGGUGUACUUCCCCGUGCGCGGGCCAGCGUCGGUUUGGGCGGCCGGUCAGCGGCCCCCGGAAUGUAGCGCCCUCUCGGGGGCGCACUUAUAGCCGGGGGUGCAGUGCGGCCAGCCUGGACCGAGAGAACGCGCUUCGGCACGGACGCUGGCAUAAUGGUCGUAAACGACCCGUCUUGAAACACGGACCAAGGAGUCUAACAUCUACGCGAGUGUUCGGGUGUCAAACCCGUCCGAUCCUGAUGUCUUCGGAUGGAUUUGAGUAUGAGCGUAAAUGUGGGGACCCGAAAGAUGGUGAACUAUGCCUGAAUAGGGCGAACCCAGAGGAAACUCUGGUGGAGGCUCGCAGCGGCUCUGACGUGNNNAUCGAUCGUCAAAUUUNU